UUUAGACUGAGGUUAGUGCAUCUCCAUUUGGACUGCUAUUAACUAUUUUAAACCUGAAAGAUUUUACAGUCUUAAAAUAGAUACGAAUUAAUGCUUUAACUGGAAUAUUGAUAAAAAGUGGAUAUUAUUAAGACAAGGCUUUAAGGAUCUCCAGAACAUAGUCAUGUUUCGGAUGAUUACUGUACUAUGCCUGGCACGUCUAUGUUCGGCAGCUACGGCCAUCAUAAACGGGACUGAGGUGGACUGCUCCGUAGACUGUGCUUGUUGUAUCGGAGGAAAUACUAGAUGUAGUACUGAUGCCUCAUAUGGAGAAAACUAUUGUAUGGAUGGCUGCGUUGACACAAUAACCGCAUACAGGUGCAAACAAUAUUGCCGCGGUAACUGCUAUGCAUGCAACCAUCAUUAUGGAAACAUCUGCAAAUCAUGCAAGGAUACAUUUUAUGAUUUUAAAAAAAACUGCAAUAAAACAUGUUCAGUCGGGUGUGUAGAUGGAAAAUGUAAUGAUGACGGAACCUGUAGUACAUGUACAGCGAAUUUUGAAGGAGAAAAAUGUGACAUUUGUUUACAAGGGAAAUAUGGCACAGAUUGCUCUUUGAACUGCCAUUAUCGGAACUGCCAUUGUACAAACUUGACUGGAUGUGAUUCAUGUAAAACUAAUUUUGAUGGUUCCUUUUGCAUGGAAUGUAAAGAUGGUUAUUACGGGGCAGACUGCAAAAUGACGUGUCCCAGCGGAUGUAGCGGUCGUAAAUGUAUGGGGAAUGGAACAUGUACUCAAUGCGAACAUGGUUAUUAUGGGGAACAAUGCAAAAACACUUGUUCUACGGGUUGUAGUGUUGGAGAAUGUUAUAGAAAUGGGACAUGUACAUGUACGAAUAAUUUUACGGGUACACAUUGUGACGAAUGUGUUAUAGGAAAAUAUG
This is a long non-coding RNA of Mya arenaria, 920 nucleotides long. RefSeq lists it as uncharacterized. NCBI's taxonomy places the organism in Eukaryota, Metazoa, Mollusca, Bivalvia, Myida, Myidae. The record is from RefSeq and is a predicted model, not a curated record. The transcript has 3 exons.